GUCUACGGCCAUACCACCCUGAACGCGCCCGAUCUCGUCUGAUCUUGGAAGCUAAGCAGGGUCGGGCCUGGUUAGUACUUGGAUGGGAGACAAUUCAGGAAAUGAUAGAUGUUGGCA
This 117-nucleotide ribosomal RNA is filed under the name Mustela putorius furo (domestic ferret). Lineage: Eukaryota; Metazoa; Chordata; Mammalia; Carnivora; Mustelidae. The record is from RNAcentral.